CGUAGGAGACGAGCGUUAUCCGGAUUUACUGGGCGUAAAGCGUGUGCAGGCGGUUCGGCAAGUUGGAUGUGAAAUCUCCCGGCUCAACUGGGAGGGGUCGUUCAAAACUACCGAACUUGAGGUCAUCAGAGGAAGGUGGAAUUCCGGGUGUAGUGGUGAAAUGCGUAGAUAUCCGGAGGAACACCAGUGGCGAAGGCGGCCUUCUGGGAUGAUCCUGACGCUCAGACACGAAAGCUAGGGGAGCGAACGGGAUUAGAGACCCCGGUAGUCCUAGCUGUAAACGAUGUAGACUUGGCGUCGGAGGGUUCAAAACCUUCGGUGUCGUAGCUAACGCGAUAAGUCUACCGCCUGGGGACUACGGCCGCAAGGUUA
RNAcentral lists this ribosomal RNA (372 nucleotides) under uncultured organism. RNAcentral describes it as "bacterial SSU rRNA". It matches the Rfam family "Bacterial small subunit ribosomal RNA", at positions 526 to 896 of the family's 1533-position model. The record is from RNAcentral.